Molecule: ribosomal RNA, 492 nt
Filed under: uncultured bacterium
Lineage: Bacteria
Description: partial 16S ribosomal RNA
Rfam family: Bacterial small subunit ribosomal RNA
Source: RNAcentral
AGUGAACGCUGGCGGUAGGCCUAACACAUGCAAGUCGAACGGCAGCACAGUAAGAGCUUGCUCUUACGGGUGGCGAGUGUCGGACGGGUGAUGAUUACAUCGGAAUCUACUUUUUCGUGGGGGAUAACGUAGGGAAACUUACGCUAAUACCGCAUACGACCUACGUGUGAAAGCAGGGGAUCUUCUGACCUUGCGCGAUUGAAUGAGCCGAUGUCGGAUUAGCUAGUUGGCGGGGUAAAGGCCCACCAAGGCGACGAUCCGUAGCUGGUCUGAGAGGAUGAUCAGCCACACUGGAACUGAGACACGGUCCAGACUCCUACGGGAGGCAGCAGUGGGGAAUAUUGGACAAAGGGCGCAAGCCUGAUCCAGCCAUACCGCGUGGGUGAAGAAGGACUUCGGGUUGUAAAGCCCUUUUGUUGGGAAAGAAAAGCAGCAGGUUAAUACCCCGCUGUUCUGACGGUACCCAAAGAAUAAGCACCGGCUAACUUCGUG